GAAAUGCGAUAAGUAGUGUGAAUUGCAGAAUUCAGUGAAUCAUCGAAUCUUUGAACGCACCUUGCGCUCCUUGGCAUUCCGAGGAGCAUGCCUGUUUGAGUGUCAUUGAAUCUCUCUCAGAACCCUUCCUGGGUUUGGAUUUGUGGAGGAUGCAUUGCUACCCAAAAUGCUGGGUUUGUGCUUGCUUCUCUGAAAUGGAUUGGCAUAAGGUGGCGAUUCACGUCGGUAUGAUACAAUCAAUGUCUUACCUGGUCGUGAGCCAUGCCAGCCCAGCCAGAAAUGACGACGGUCAGUCUCACACAAUUUGACCUCAAAUCAGGCAGGACUACCCGCUGAACUUAA
RNAcentral lists this unclassified non-coding RNA (342 nucleotides) under uncultured fungus. RNAcentral describes it as "sequence contains ITS1". The stretch from base 1 to 105 matches the Rfam family "5.8S ribosomal RNA", at positions 50 to 154 of the family's 154-position model. The record is from RNAcentral. Lineage: Eukaryota; Fungi.